AUUGUGACAUGCCGAAUUGUCACAGGGUUGUUGAUUGUUUGGUGCUGCCCUCGAGUGGCGAAAUGAGAGAAAAGAUAGACGGCAGCACUGCAGAGAACAGAUGGCAGCACUAGGCCACCAUGCUGGAUCAGAUAGGAAGCAGAAGGAAGCAUUCUGCUGAUGAGUAAUUUCUAUCGGUCAACAUCUACGAGGUUAUCGUGUGACCCAGGGCAGUUGUUGCCCGCGAAGUUGGUGUGGUCAUUUCUACGGUGGCAUGAUCUAGCGCGAUCAUGUACUGGGCUCCCUAGGGUAUGUGAGCCAAUGCUCUCUUGUGUAGCUAUUGGUUAGAAUGUUUUGUAUUUUGUAUAAUGUACAGUGUAAUAAAUAUAUGGUGUUAUUUCUGUAACUAUAGUCUAUAAUUCUAAUUAUUCUCAACGUUUAAAUGGGGUCGGUACCCCAUCAGCAUUAAGCUAUUGGAACAGUUAAUCGAUUGUAUGUACAUGUUGCGUGGUUUUAAGCGUUAGGCUGUCCAUGCGCUCAUGCAUGUGUAUUUGUAUGUUCCAGGGUUUUUGUUUGUUUACAAAUAAAUCUUCUACCCCGCA
Priapulus caudatus is the source of this 581-nucleotide long non-coding RNA. RefSeq lists it as uncharacterized. Lineage: Eukaryota; Metazoa; Priapulida; Priapulimorpha; Priapulimorphida; Priapulidae. The transcript is spliced from 2 exons. The record is from RefSeq and is a predicted model, not a curated record.